AAAUUAAAUUAGACAUUUACGAAUUUGUAAUAUGAAUUUAAAAGUUUCAACAUUGUAUGAUCAAGUAUCGAAUAUAUGUACACCAAAUUUAUGCUUCAGGAGAAUUCAAAGCAAAGUCCAAAUUGUUUUAAUUAUGUAACUUUUGAUACUUUCGAAUAGAUUUAGAGAUAUUGUUUGAAUUUGUGAACAAUAAGUACAUGAUUUGUUGGUUAUAAAGAAAGAAAUUCAGUUGUAGAUAGUUGUUUUCUUGUUAUUCUACUAGGAUAGUUUUUUUAAAUCAAUUGCCUAACUGCAUAAGAAAAAGUGAAAUUAGAUACUUUAUAGUUAAGAUUUACCUUUUUGUUCGGUUAUAUUUUUGAAUUAUGAAUUAAUUAUAGAAAAUAGAUAUAAAAUAAAAGUCAACUAAAUUUAAUUUUUCACGCACUUAUCUGAAAUAACUUGUGUUAUCCACCAUACAACCAAUUUUUUAUUAUUAUUAUUUAGAGGAGAAACAAAAAGAAAUAUGGGAAAAUUCUAACUUUCAAUUAAACAAAAUUUUGGACUGACAGACGUAGUGGAGAAGAUGAUGACACGUAAACGUCCGGAGAAAGAAACUGUGUCUAUGAGCCACCAGUGGUGGGGGAAUCCAACGAACAACUACCGGUGACAUUAUCUUCUACGCCGGAGGUCAAGGAUCAAGCUUCACUGACAACGUUUAUGUCAUCUUUGUCUCAAGUCUUACCUCGUCGUCACUGGUUCUUCUCCGACCGGCAGUCCAUGGGCGCAAAAUAAAUCUCGAGCAACAAUGGCUAACUUUGACUUUCUUGCACAUUUAGUCCUUCGGUUUUUGUAUAAUUUUGUUUUGGCUCUAAACUUUUUGUUUUACAGAAACGUCCUAUUGAUUUUGCCUCUAGUUUCCAACUA
Long non-coding RNA from Brassica napus (rape), 903 nucleotides. RefSeq lists it as uncharacterized. The record is from RefSeq and is a predicted model, not a curated record. NCBI's taxonomy places the organism in Eukaryota, Viridiplantae, Streptophyta, Magnoliopsida, Brassicales, Brassicaceae. The transcript is spliced from 2 exons.